CCUACGGGACGCAGCAGUGAGGAAUAUUGGUCAAUGGACGCAAGUCUGAACCAGCCAUGCCGCGUGCAGGAAGACGGCUCUAUGAGUUGUAAACUGCUUUUGUACGAGGGUAAACGCAGAUACGUGUAUCUGUCUGAAAGUAUCGUACGAAUAAGGAUCGGCUAACUCCGUGCCAGCAGCCGCGGUAAUACGGAGGAUUCAAGCGUUAUCCGGAUUUAUUGGGUUUAAAGGGUGCGCAGGCGGCGUGUCAAGUCAGCGGUAAAAUGUCGGGGCUCAACCCCGGCCGGCCGUUGAAACUGGCGUGC
This 305-nucleotide ribosomal RNA is filed under the name uncultured bacterium. Its description in RNAcentral is "bacterial SSU rRNA". It matches the Rfam family "Bacterial small subunit ribosomal RNA", at positions 338 to 641 of the family's 1533-position model. The record is from RNAcentral.